RNAcentral lists this ribosomal RNA (740 nucleotides) under Nocardioides luteus. Its description in RNAcentral is "bacterial SSU rRNA". It matches the Rfam family "Bacterial small subunit ribosomal RNA", at positions 77 to 833 of the family's 1533-position model. The record is from RNAcentral. Lineage: Bacteria; Bacillati; Actinomycetota; Actinomycetes; Propionibacteriales; Nocardioidaceae.
CCUUCGGGGUACUCGAGCGGCGAACGGGUGAGUAACACGUGAGUAAUCUGCCCCAGGCUCUGGGAUAGCCACCGGAAACGGUGAUUAAUACCGGAUACGACAACCGAUUGCAUGAUCUGGUUGUGGAAAGUUUUUCGGCCUGGGAUGUGCUCGCGGCCUAUCAGCUUGUUGGUGAGGUAAUGGCUCACCAAGGCUUCGACGGGUAGCCGGCCUGAGAGGGUGACCGGCCACACUGGGACUGAGACACGGCCCAGACUCCUACGGGAGGCAGCAGUGGGGAAUAUUGGACAAUGGGCGGAAGCCUGAUCCAGCAACGCCGCGUGAGGGAUGACGGCCUUCGGGUUGUAAACCUCUUUCAGCACAGACGAAGCGCAAGUGACGGUAUGUGCAGAAGAAGGACCGGCCAACUACGUGCCAGCAGCCGCGGUAAUACGUAGGGUCCGAGCGUUGUCCGGAAUUAUUGGGCGUAAAGGGCUCGUAGGCGGUCUGUCGCGUCGGGAGUGAAAACCAGGUGCUUAACACCUGGCCUGCUUUCGAUACGGGCAGACUAGAGGUACUCAGGGGAGAAUGGAAUUCCUGGUGUAGCGGUGAAAUGCGCAGAUAUCAGGAGGAACACCGGUGGCGAAGGCGGUUCUCUGGGAGUAUCCUGACGCUGAGGAGCGAAAGUGUGGGGAGCGAACAGGAUUAGAUACCCUGGUAGUCCACACCGUAAACGUUGGGCGCUAGGUGUGGGAUCCAUU